RNAcentral lists this ribosomal RNA (530 nucleotides) under Fusarium oxysporum f. sp. ciceris. Its description in RNAcentral is "eukaryotic LSU rRNA". The stretch from base 135 to 291 matches the Rfam family "5.8S ribosomal RNA". The record is from RNAcentral. Lineage: Eukaryota; Fungi; Ascomycota; Sordariomycetes; Hypocreales; Nectriaceae.
AUCACCCCUGUGACAUACCUAUAGUGGUGCCUCCGGAGGAACACACUGCCCGUUAAAAGGGGCCGCCCCCCCCAGAAGACCCCCUAACUCUUUUUCUAUGUAGUUUCUGCUGAAUAAACUAACUAAUUAAUAAAAACUUUCAACAACGGAUCUGUUGGUUGUGGCAUCGAUGAACAACGCAGCAUGCUGUAAUUAAUGAGGAGUAUUGAAUAAUUUGAUGAAUCGAAAUCUCAUCUAUGAACGCACGUGGCGCCCGCCAUUAUUGUGGGCGGCAUGGCUGUACCAGCGUUAUUACCACCCUCAAGCCCCCGGGGCUGGGCACUGGGGAUCGGCGGAAGCCCCCUGCGGGCACAACGGCCACCCCCAAAUACCGUGGCGGUCCCGCAACACCUUCCAUUGUGUAAAACCUAACACCUCCCACCUGGAAAGCGGCCCGCCCACGGCUGACAACACCCAACUUCUGAAUGUUGACCUGAAAUCAGGUAGGAAUUCGGCUGAGGAAAAAGCAUAUCAAUAGCCGGAGGAAAUUA